This 528-nucleotide ribosomal RNA is filed under the name Agrilus sp. 1 VL-2011. RNAcentral's name for it is "eukaryotic LSU rRNA". The record is from RNAcentral. Lineage: Eukaryota; Metazoa; Arthropoda; Insecta; Coleoptera; Buprestidae.
AAGAACUUUGAAGAGAGAGUUCAAGAGUACGUGAAACCGUUCAGGGGUAAACCUGAGAAACCCGAAAGGUCGAUGGGGGAGAUUCAACCGCGUCGCGGUUGUCCGGCGUCCGUGGGGCGCGCGACGGGCGGUCUUCGCGAUCGUCCGCCCGCCUCUCGGCGCACGGCUCCGUACGCGUGCACUUCUCCCCUCGUAGGACGUCGCGACCCGUUGGGCGUCGGUCUAAGGCCCCCGGCGGAGCCCGCGCGUGCGGUUCGCGCCGCACGUUCGGACCCGGGGAGUCCCGGUCGGCUCGCCCGACGGUAUCGGUGGACGGGAGGUCGCGACCAUUAGAGUACGCGCCCGGUCCGUCGCAAGCGGUCGCGGUUCUUCGAAGUUCGGACCCGGUCCGGACCAGAGGCCGCGUCGCUGUUGGCGACGGACGCCUCGGGCAGACCUCUGUCCCGCGCGCCUCGCGCGCGCGGGACGUGCCCUCCACGGAGGCACGAUCGUCUGUCCGCGACGCUAUAGCUUUGGGUAAUUUCAGGA